GCGGCCUAUCAGCUUGUUGGUGAGGUAAUGGCUCACCAAGGCGACGACGGGUAGCCGGCCUGAGAGGGUGACCGGCCACACUGGGACUGAGACACGGCCCAGACUCCUACGGGAGGCAGCAGUGGGGAAUAUUGCACAAUGGGCGAAAGCCUGAUGCAGCAACGCCGCGUGAGGGACGAAGGCCUUCGGGUUGUAAACCUCUUUUAGUAGGGAAGAAGCGAAAGUGACGGUACCUGCAGAAAAAGCACCGGCUAACUACGUGCCAGCAGCCGCGGUAAUACGUAGGGUGCAAGCGUUGUCCGGAAUUAUUGGGCGUAAAGAGCUCGUAGGCGGUUUGUCGCGUCUGCUGUGAAAUCCCGAGGCUCAACCUCGGGCCUGCAGUGGGUACGGGCAGACUAGGGUGCGGUAGGGGAGACUGGAAUUCCU
This 426-nucleotide ribosomal RNA is filed under the name uncultured Actinomycetes bacterium. RNAcentral describes it as "bacterial SSU rRNA". It matches the Rfam family "Bacterial small subunit ribosomal RNA", at positions 233 to 671 of the family's 1533-position model. Lineage: Bacteria; Bacillati; Actinomycetota; Actinomycetes. The record is from RNAcentral.